GUGUGACUUACUUCCUAGCUUCCUGGCCUGCAUGCUGUCCUAAAGGAGGUAGAAAAGAAACAUGAGGUCAGACUUCAUGGAGAAAAUAUGAUCAGAGGGGGUCUAUGUAAGGGCCUACCGCUACGAAAAACUCUUGACAAGUAUCUAGGUCAAUAAUAUACUAAUGGAUCGAAAUUGCAAUAAAUUUGAAACGUCACUUGAAAAGAAGUAUUGCAUGAGAUGUGAUGUAUAACUAACUAUUCAUGGAAACUGAGAAUUCACUGAGGUGUCUUUUUGGCGGCAUUGUGUAAGAAAACAAGGAAUCUGGACAUUAUUAUAAUUAUUAUUAUUCUGAUUCUGAUCUGACCAGUUCUGUAAACUUGAACUUAGCUUCAACAUAAUGGAAUCAUCCAGCCAUAAUGCAAUGAUGCUUACAACUUCAAGCCUCAAUUUUCCUUAAAAUCACUGACGAUAUAAGGCGAAGAAAAGAAUAUGUAAGAAAUUAAUGGAAGUGGUAGAUGCUGUUUACUGCAGCAGCACACUGUCAAAGCCAUCAACAAGCCAUUGAAGAUACUAGAGUAAAGGAUGCCACUAAACCAAAGCCAAUCAAAGCUGAAUUUCAAGUCGCAGUGAGUUGGUGUCUAUAAAAACAAGUGAAAAUCAUUAGUCACAUAUAAACUGAUUAAUGUACAGUAACAUUAAUAAUAAUUAAUAAUUUCUAAAUGUACCGAUAUUCACCACAAGAAUGGUGCUCAUGGCUCUUUGUGAUGGAACUUUACAUUAUACAAAUACAACAUGGUUUGAGGUGAAGGAGUUUCAACAACACAGAGGGAAAAAGAAUAAAUUAACCUCUUCAAAAUAUGAAAGAUAAAUGUCAAUUUUGAUUUAGGGUAGUGCUUAUUCCUGGCAUGUUGUAAGCAUUCACGUGCAUGGAUGUAAAAUAGGCAAAAUACUGUUCACUGAGUGAAAUGACCAGUGAAAUGUUGUUUCCUAGUUAGUAUUCAGUAUAAUGAGUCUGAACACGUUUUUCUCUUACAAUUACAGCCAUUCUGUGGCAAAUUCAAUUGCACUGUAGUACUAACCGUUGGCUCCUUUAAAUGAGGCAUGUUGUGGCGAAAUGUUUAAGUUGUCGCACAGUCCAGUAUCGAGUAUUAAAUGAGCUAUAAAAUAUGGGAGCUCAAAAAAUUGCCUAAAAAUCUAAAUUUGUUUUUCACUAUAGAUCAACAGUUUAAUGUCUUAUUAAUCAUGUCCCAAAGUAUUAGUUCUGGAAGUGGUUAACAAAUUGUUUAUUUAACGUUAUUUUUCAUAGUUCAUUCUAUUAAAUCGAGAGCUUAGAGCCAAAAGUGCCUAUGUCCAAAAUUCAUAUUUCGAGAAAAAUAAGUUUUAAUAUUUCAUUAUAUCUAAAAAAUCAAAUAAUAUAACCAAAAGAACAAUAUUCCAGAAUUAUGUUAUUAAUACUUAGACAAAGUUGAUGCUUCGGUACUUAUAAGAAUUCUUCCCCUGGGGGUCCAAAAAAUUCAGAAAAUGGACAUAGACAAUUCUAGUCCAAAAUAGAAAUAACAUUAUUUGGACAUAAUAAAAGAUUGUUGCAAUGUCUGCUUAAUUUUCAACAACUUUUAUUAAACCAAGUGGUUCAAACGUUAAUUUUCAACAAAUAUUUCAUCUGCAGGCAGGAUCUUAAAAUAAAAUAGUUUGUAUACCAGGCAUUAAAGCAUGCAAAAUUAUCACUUCAGACCCGAGUUUUGUUACACCGAAUAGUUAGUGCAUUAGACAAUGUCUUCAUUAUCACUGUCUUCGCCAGAGUCUUCAAUAGCUGGUUCUGGUAGGUGGUCCUGUAUUCGACCAGAUGAAUUUAUGGCUUUGUACCAUCCAUAGAACUCUGCAGGUAUGGCCAAUUCUGUACACAGCUUCACCAGAUCCUUCUUCUUUGCGUUACUGAUUGCCCGUCUGGUAUCGUAGGCAGGUAGCAAAGCAUUUGGAACAACAGGGCGACCACGUCCAUACACGCAGAUUCUUGUGUAGUUUCCUUUGUAACCGUAUCUAUAACUAAUUAUUCCUGGUUGAUCUUUCCUAUAUCAAAAGCUCUUGACCAGCAGCCAGUUGAUGAUAUUUCCCUCUUCGUCCCGGCGUUUAUUUUUUAAAAGAUGUUGUGCAAGUCUUUGGAAAUCAUAGAAAUCUUGAUGCUGCAAGUUUACCACAUUGUAUGGGUGUUGACGCCUAGCUCUACGAAAGAUAGACACCCAGUCAUGCAUUGUAAAGACACCCAAUAGCCGCAUGCAUACUAUCGCAUUCCAUAUGUGAAUGUCCACUUUCCAGAAAGUUAUGAGUAAUUACGUUAACUUGGGUGUUCAUGACAGCAUAAAAAUCAUUGCUGCGACAUUCUGAUUGCGAUUUUGUCCUCCACACGUGUCAGAAAAUAAGGAAAUUUCUGUUAUUGAACAUGGAAGUUGGGUUAUCCAAUUAUAAAGACAAGUUCCUAUGUCAUUGCUUCCACGUCUGCCUUAAACCUCUGACCAGCAAAAGUAAUGUGCGUCAUUUGGUGGUGCUGCACUGUAUAUACAGAGGUUGUAUACGCAUAUUUUUCUACUGUAAUACAUCAGAGAACGUGCACUUGUGGGGAGUUGAAGGACACUCUGUAAGUCAAAUGAUGCUGAUACCGCUCUUGCUUUAUCAGCGGUUUUCGCGUCCUGUGCCUCUUUUUUUCUUGUAAUAUGAGAAUCAUAAGCUCCUUUAAAUGUUGGUUUUUGUAUUUUAUGCAUUGCGCACAUUAAUCUUUUUUGGGGUGAAAAAAUGAUAAGAUAUAUUCAUCACAAAAUAUCUUCCGGUAGAUUCCUUCUUUGACUGGAAUCACAGGUGGUCCAGAUGUCUCACAUUUUUCAAUAUACAGUCGGUACAUUUUCGAAAUAUUUAAUGUUUAAUCAAGAUAAAGUCGUCGAGUGUUGCUACGGGUAUAGUGCGAUUCUGUUACAGGAAAGCUUUCAAUGUGUUGUUUAACCUUUAUUCAGGCUUCGUCUGUAGUUUUGUUUAUAGGGACAUGUCUUCCGCAUCUAUCUGCUCCUGUGAACGUUCCAGCACAUCCUAAAUCUUGAAAGGCAGUGUUUACUGGGCCAUGACUAAUGUUGAGGGUAUUUAGAAAGAAAUGUUUGCAAACACGUUUCGGAGUACUAUUUUUUAUGAAUGUACGCUCUCCUCUAGGACGUUCUCGCUGAACGUCGUACAUCUUUACAUUUGACAGAAGAAAAUCUUUCUGACGGCAAUAGUCGCCUAGUUGCCAAUAUUCGUCACAUAAAUUUUUUCUCUCUAUGUCUGAGAAGCUGUCCAGACACUUGAAUCUGCAGUUUGCACAGUUUGAUGGUUGCGGAUACUUAGCAGAUUUUUGCCGACCUCUUGUGUCGGUAUGAGCCUUUCCUCAAUCAUGUGCAUUUUUUCUUAUAUUUUUUUUCCAAGAACUGCUAUCGGAUUUUUUCUUUCUUGUUCCUCUUUCUACAACAUUCGGAUUCUCUGGAAUGGGUAUUUGUUCCCCUUCCUGAAUGACAGACAAUGUUGGAUUUAUUUCAGAACCAUGUACACAACACAACAUAGGAUUUCAGUGUAGUAUAACUGUUUAUGUUCCACAUGGGCAGGAAUAUGUAAACAAAAAAAAAUUGGCCAAAAGUGACUAUGUCCCACAUAGACAGCUCUGGCUGAAAACAAAGUCCAUUGUAAUGGACAUAAACAAUAGUGGGUCUACUCUAGUGCCCUCUAUAUUGAAAGUGUGACUUGGACACAUCUGUCAAAAAAAUAUAUCGAAUUACUGUACCUAUUAUUUUAUGGACUUAACUGAUUUUUGCCAAAUUUGGACAUAGGCAGUUCUGGCUCUAAGCCCUCGAAAUCAUGUAUGCACAAAUGACUUUGAAAGGCAAUUACUCAAAAUCAUGUUUAUUUUACUCUAAGAGUACUGUACUUUCACUUUCCAAUAACUUAGGCUUGAAAUGUCCAAUUUGAAUGAAUGACCCCUCAUUUUAAAGAUCACAUACUCAGGUAUCUGAAAAUACCAAUAACUUGAAUUUCAAUUUUUGCUACAACUUUGCCAUUUUGCCACAACAUGUCUCAAAUGCUUGCUGUGAGAAUGUCUGCACAUUGUCAUGUUCACACCAAAAAAGAUCAAUCAUUUGUCUCAUCUUCGAUACUGUGACUUAUAAGGUCUAUUUUUAUUAUCAAAAGAACGUUCCUGCUCACUUGUCACUGUGUGUGUUUUUCUUAACAAAAGUUGUGACCAUGUUUAACAAAUAUUCAUUCAUAUUUUUUGGGGUUUUUUUGUUUUAAACUAACCUCCUCCGUUGUGCCCUUUCCAUUUUGUCUUUUUAUUAAAAAUUUGCUUAGAAACAUACCAACUUUCAAUUUUUGCCUUACCUACAAUAUAUAUUACAUUUUAAUCUGAUUUCAUCAAUAGUUUAAUGGUUUUAAAUUUGAAUAGUACAAAAUACCAAGUCUCUAUGCACUGCAAUCAUUGGCAACUUCAUUGAUUUCCUCUGGAAAUCCAUGUCUAUCGUUCUGUACCCUCAACCCAAUCAAUCAUCAACAUUCAAGUCUAACUAUGGCUUCUUUGCAUAUCAUCCAACUCAUCUUCACAUUCAUCAAUUCUUCUUCAUCAGAAUCUGGUGGUACAUUUCAUUAGGCUGUAUUGAAUCUGAUGUUUCAUUUUAAAAAUUUAACCUGUGAGUUUUAAGCGUGGGGACUGUUUAUUCUGCAUAUUCUGCAAAUGAAUACAUAUCUAAUAAAAAUUUGAUAGAAUUCAAUCUUUACUGCUGCCACCACCACCAUCACCACCACCCUGGCCUAAUAACAAUAAACAUGAUAAUGAAGUCAUGUAAAUGCUUGGGAUGAUGAUUUAAUGAAUUUGGUAUGGUAAUUUGUAAUUUAGUGUUGAUAAUGAAUAAUGUGUUUUUUCUUACACAGUAUGUACAUCGUCUUUCCAAUUCAUGUUGCAUUUUAAUAUUUUCAAUGCAUAACUCAUUUCCUGUGCGUAGCCAAGUCUUGCAAUGCUAUGUAGAAUACAGUACAUCAAGCAUGCUACACAAUGAACAAGGAAUAUGAAAAUAGGAUAUAUACAACAUCCUUAUUACUACUUAAAUGUAGCACCAAGACCUUCUGUUAGGCCAUCAGCUGUAUCUGAAAAAGUGGCUUGAAAACAUGGUCCUUUCCAGAAUAAUGUGGACUACUUUUUAGAAACAUGGUCCUUUCCAGAAUAAUGUAGACUACUUUUUGGAUGGAUGCAAUAAUGUUUAAAGGUCUCUGCAUAUACCUACAGUUUCUUGCUAGGACAUUAAAAAGCAUGUUCAGUUGUGUACUCCAAAAUGGCUGUUUUUGGGGUCUGAUAUCAUGUUUAAAUAAUCAUGCCUAAUUCAUGUUGAAUUGUAAUACAGUAUAUUCAAUGCAUAACUCAUUUCCUGUGCGUAGCCGAGUCCUGCAAUGAUAAGUAGAAUACAGUACAUCAUGCAUGCUGCACAAUGAACAAGGAAUAUGAAAACAGGGAAUAUACAAUUACAACAUCCUUAUUACUACUUAAAUGUAGCAACAAAACCUUCUGUUAGGCCAUCAGUUAUAUCUGAAAAAGUGGCUUGAAACAUGGUCCUUUCCAGAAUAAUGUAGACUACUUUUUGGAUGGAUGCAUUAAUGUUAAAAGGUCUCUGCAUAAACCUAGAGUUUCUUGUCAGGACACAACUAAACAUGCUUUUUGAUGUACUCCAAAAUGGCUGUUUUUGGGGUCUGAUAUCAUGUUUAAAUAAUCAUGCCUAAUUCAUGUUGAAUUGUAAUAUGUUCAAUGCAUAACUCAUUUCCUGUGCGUAGCCUAGUGUUGCAAUGCUAUGUAGAAUACAGUACAUCAAGCAUGCUACACAAUGAACAAGGAAUAUGAAAACGGAUAUAUACAACAUCCUUACCACUACUUAAAUGUAGCACCAAGACCUUCUGUUAGGCCAUCAGCUGUAUCUAAAAAAGUGGCUUGAAAACAUGGUCCUUUCUAGAAUAAUGUGGACUACUUUUUAAAAGCAUGGUCCUUUCCAGUAGACUAUUUUUGGAUGGAUGCAAUAAUGUUUAAAGGUCUCUGCAUAAACCUACAGUUUCUUGCCAGGACACAACUGAACAUACUUUUUAAUGUACUCCAAAAUGGCUGUUUUUGGGGUCUGAUAUGUUAAAAUAAUCAUGUCUAAUUCAUGUUGAAUUGUAAUAUGUUCAAUGCAUAACUCAUUUCCUGUGCGUAGCCGAGUUUUGCAAUGAUAUGUAGAAUACAUUACAUCAUGCAUGCUGCACAAUGAACAAGGAAUAUGAAAAUAGGGAAUAUACAAUUACAACAUCCUUAUUACUACUUAAAUGUAGCAACAAAAUCUUCUGUUAGGCCAUCAGUUAUAUCUGAAAAAGUGGCUUGAAAACAUGGUCCUUUCCAGAAUAAUGUAGACUUUUUGGAUGGAUGCAUUAAUGUUUAAAGGUCUCUGCAUAAACCUACAGUUUCUUGUCAGGACACAACUAAAAAUGCUUUUUAAUGUACUCCAAAAUGGCUGUUUUGGGGGUCUGAUACCAUGUUUAAAUAAUCAUGUCCAAAUCAUGUUGCGUUGUAAUAUGUUGAACGAAAACGCAUUUCCUGUGAGUAGCCAAAUUCAGCAAUGCUAUGUAGAAUACAGUACAUUGAGCAUGCUACACAAUGAACAAGGAAUAUGAAAAUGGAAUAUACAAUUACAACAUCCUUACCACUACUGUACUUAAAUGUAGCACCAAAACUGUACAGUACCACCAGAACCAUCUGUUAGGCCAUCAGCUGUAUCUGUAAAAGUGGCUUGAAAACAUGGUCCUUUCCAGAAUAAUGUGGACUACUUUUUGGAUGGAUGCAUUAAUGUUAAAAGGUCUCUGCAUAAACCUACAGUUUCUUGUCAGGACACAACUGAACAUGCUUUUUAAUGUACCCCAAAAUGGCUGUUUUUGGGGUCUGAUACCAUGUUUAAAUAAUCAUGUCUAAUUCAUGUUGCAUUGUAAUAUGUUCAACACAAACGCAUUUCCUGUGAUUAGCCAAAUUCAGCAAUGUUAUGUAGAAUACAGUACAUCGAGCAUGCUACACAAUGAACAAGGAAUAUGAAAACAGGGAAUAUACAAUUACAACAUCCUUCCACUACUUAAAUGUAGCACCAAGACUGUACAGUACCACCAGAACCAUCUGUUAGGCCAUCAGCUGUAUCUGAAAAAGUUCCUUUCCAUAAUAAUUAGACUACUUUUUGGAUAGAUGCAUUAGGGUCUCUGCAUAAACCCAGUUUCUUCUUUCUUUUUGAUGUAUCCCAAAAUGGCUGUUUUGGGGUCUGAUACCAUGUUUAAAUAAUCACAUUGUCUGAUAGUCACAAUUUUCAACAUUGAUGGAAAUUGUAAUUUUUAUUUGAUAAAUUCUUAUUGGCCUUUAUGUAAUAAAAACUGAAAAAUAACAAUGUAUUAUUAUAAGGAACAACUAAUUUUUCAACUAACAUGGUAUGUUUUUACUAACUGUUCCAUGUUGGAACAUACAGUAUUUCCUUUGUUGGUGGUUGGCUCUGUUUUGAUGUUGAUGAUAGACAGAACAUUUUGUAAAUGGCAACAUAUGGCAACAUUAACAUUUGUUAUUAACCUGGCCAUAAAACUUGCUUAUAAAUGAUUUAUAAAUGGUUAAAAUGCUCUUUCACUUCAAGUCUAAGUGUCUGCCGAGAUCUGUAAAUACUUUUAGAUAACUUUCUACAGACCUACAACUUGUCCUUCCUGUAGCAAUCAUAAAGAAAAGGUUAGAAGGCAAUGUAUCUAUAAGUGAUAAGGCUAUGCUCACAUCUGUGUCUGGACUUCUGAUGAUUACAUUUUGUAAUACUUUGAAGCAUGAUUUUCAUGAAGAAGUAACUGUGUAUUUGCACAUGGAGAAAAUGUACUGACACUUUCUUUUUUUUUUCUUAAAAUGUUUUACUUUCUUUUGCAAAAACACAUUGCAGAAAUAAUAAGAGAAAAUGUAAUACAAAUAAAUCAAAGCACUCUCAGUUGCUUCUAAUCAUUGCCAUUUGUUAAUAUGAAUGUAAUACUUAAGGUUAUUCUUAGCAAUAUUCUUUUCAGUUGUUUCUGUAAAAUAUACCCAUUUUCUAAUACCUGAGAGGAGUUUAAUUUUGCAAUUAUAAAAGUAUCUUUAAGCCAGAAUCAAAUUCAGACAAAUAAAAAAUUGCAUAUUUAUGUUCAAAAACUCAAAACACAUGUCAGUAUAUUUUAUGUUAACAGUAAUGUCUAAAGUCUUUUCUCAAGCCCACAUCAAAUGCUCCAUUCUUCUCUUUCUUUUUACAAAGUAAGCAUUUGUCUUCUGGUCCUUGCAGUAAAUUUGAACCGUCUGUGUUCUACUCCCUGCCCCCGGUAAUCGCUCAAGAUAUUUAAACCUUAUGUAAGGGUAUCACAAAUUCUACAUGUGAGCAUUAGUAUUUUAUCUCCAAGAUUGUUUGUUCCAGAAUAGCAUCAUUCAAUUCUCCAAUUUUAUUGUAAUGGGACAUCACUCAUACUGAUUAGUGGGUUUGCUUCUUCUACUGUCGCUAUGCACUUAAGGCCGUCAUCCAAAUAGAAAUUAUAAUGGAUUAAUUCAGUAGCUGCUUCACAUCUUUUCUCUUUACCAUAAUCUGUGGCUCUUCUUAAACCAAAGUUUGCACAAGCUGGAGAGCUCUUAGCACUGAAAAGAUGCACCUUCAUGCGAUGAUCAAUGAUUGGAUUCUCCACAUUGUUGGCCUUAUAGGAAUUGGAGCAGACCUGUGUCAAUCUCCCUCUGAACAAAUUGGUGGAACAUGCCCCUUAUGUCACAUAUCAAUGUGAUCUUCCCUAUUCUUAAUCUGAGCAACACACCAAGUAAAUUUUGAUCUGAUUUGGCACGUUAAGUAAAGGUCAUUUAACAAGGUUCCUUGAUAGGGUGCUGAACAGUAAUAACAACCUAUUUCUCAUCUGCUUUAUUCAGAAUUCUUCAGACUAAUUUUUUCAAACUCAUCUAAUCUCUACAGCCUAACCUUUAAUGCAGCCUUUUCACCGAUGGCCAUAAAUUUGAGGACGCAACAAUGCAUUGCUAAUAACCGAUCCGUCUCUUCUACACGGGCCAGCCUGCUGCUGAAAUACGUCCUGUGAAAAGGUCUAAUCUUUUUUUAGACUAUAACCGACCACUAUGGAAUCGAUGGACGAUAUGGAACCCACCAUAGAACUGACGAACGAUAUGGAACCCACUCUGGAACCGAUAAACGAUAUGGAACCGAAUAACGAUAUGGAACCCACGACUGCUGUGGAAAUGAAACUAACGACAUCUGCCGAGGACCCGCUGACGAACACUAUCGUAGACCUCAGGGGAAACGUGAACAAGUUGUUCGGCCGCUUCGUGGUGAGGGCCGUGACAUUGGUGCCUCUCGUUGUGUCCCAUAAAUAAAUUAGCGAGAGUCUGAGCUAAUGGUGACCCCAUGGUGACCCCAUCUAUUUGUUGAAAGUAAUCAAAUAAAGUAUCCAGAAGUUGCUAUUACCAUUAGUUUUCGAAGGAUUUCAGGUUUUAAUUUACAAUUGCUAUUGUUUUCCGUAAUAUAGUGUACUGCUAAAUCUAUAGCCUCUUUCAAUGAUGAUAUGUUCGUGAAUAAACUCUCAACGUCAAAUGAGAUCAUAAAUUUGUUAUUCAGUUUGUGAUUUUUAAUUGUAUUAACAAAACUGAAACUGUUCUUUACACUGAAUUUAUCUGGUAUAUGUGAUUGAAGGAGCUCACUUAAAAAUUUAGCUAAUUUAUAAUUAGAUGUCCCAAUUGUGGAAACAAUCGACCACAUUUUGUGAAGACCAUCUUCACCCAGCUUUUUAUGUAGUUUCGGUAAUCCGUAUAUUCUAGCAGGUGAUGAAACAUUAGGGUAAAUUUGUUUGUAUGUAUCAAUGUCCAACUCCCCAGCUUUGUGUCAUUUCCUAAGAACCGUUCUUGUUUACGUGUCGGAUUUAUGUUAAGUUUGGCAAAUUAUGCACGAUGCUUCCAUAUCGGAUUCCAUGACACAGCAGACUUGACCUCUUUGGUUGAAUAUCUCUGUAGAGUAGUUUUUACCGUUGCACCAACUUCAGCUGCUGUGGAAAGCUUCUGUUUCAAGAGUCAUCCAAUCUUCUUUAUAAAACAACAAGAUCACAAGUCUGCAAACUUAAUUUUAGACAUAGGCCGACUUUUUAACAGAGACUAUACUACUUUGGGGUUUUGGUAAAUCUACAUGAUUAAAGUCUGAGAGACAGCUCUGGUCGUGCAGUAGAUAUGGACUUGUAUCCAACUAUUGGUGAAAUGUUACUUGGCAGUCUUCUGGCUUGGGUUAGUUUAACACAGAUUACGUUUUCUUUUGUAAUGGUCUCCCUACUCCUCAUUUUUUGUACAUGGAUUUUAUACGAUGAGUAAGUUACACUACGAUACAUCGUAUGGAUUUCAUACACAGUAGACUUUCCCCUUCUGGGGAAAUUCGGUUGGAUGUCUUUGUAGAGUGGUUGCUACCAUUUCGCCUUCCAUUCCGAGAGUCCUCCAAUAUGAAUCUUGUAGAUAGAACAACACAAAACAUUAUAGUCAAAGUCACAUGUCUGUAAACAUAAUUGUAGACCUAGGCCAAAUCUUUAACAGAGACCAUACUUCUUUGGGGUUUUAGUAAAUCUACAUGAUUAAAGUCUGAGAGGCAUAGCUCUGGACUUCUUCCAGUAGCUAGACUAUCUUGCAGUACAGUAGAUAUGGACUUGAAUCCAACUCUUGGGCACAGUCCGCCCAUCUAUUGCUGGUUGACCAAAUUUUUGUUUUCAUUAUGCAUUUUUCAGUAUCAUCCAGCAUAAAUUUGAAUUGGUGAGGUUUACUGUGGUAUAUGGUGUCGUGUAAAUGGGGUUUAUCCAGUCUUUGAUGUAGAAUGUUUGUGUUAUAAUUGAUUUAGUUAUAGUGAGCUUUUGAUGUUUCAAUUGAAUUUUUGAGAUGAUCAAGUGUAAAAAUACAGUGUUUUUUAAGAUGUUUGGUAAUGCAUGAAAACAUUUGGUCAAUAUCCUUGUGAGUGUGGCCUACAUAAGUCAGGUUCACAUGUCUCCAUCGAUCGCGAGUGGGUCGUGGUCUAGAUUGUGUUAGAUAAAAAAUUGGCCAAACUGCGUAUGCUACUGCUUUCGAGGCAACCGAAAAUUAAUUUAUGUCACAUCCCCCGGCCAAUUGGUUGUAGACAUGUGCAGAUCGCAUCGUGUUUGUACAUUUCGUCUAGAGAAUAUUCUACAGGAGAGUGUUUACAUCAUGUUUCCUUGCAAUUUGCUUCCAAAGGUCCUGCAACUGUGUUUGGAUUUGCCGUGCCGUCGUCGGCGAGUGGCCUGGUACAGACGAAAAUCUAACGUGUGCUUUACUUGUGUAUUUUUGUCUUAUUAUUUGAUUUCUUGUCUUCCACUAACAUUCUAAUCUCGGGUUUUGCCCAAAUCUCUAUCAAGUGACUCAUUUCUUCCUCAGUUCAACAGGCCCGAGCGCCAGAUUCAGUUGAAGUUGAAUAUUUAUGGGUGUUUAAAUGAAAAAAAACAUACAACAGCCAGAACGGCAACAAUUGUGAAAAUGGCAUUCUUAACAGAUGCAUUGUUGUUGACUAUAACAGACAGUUCGGAAAUGUUUUGUUGGUUUUCCCUUGAACAAUAGAUAUGUUUAUGUUGAAGUUACAGCCAAUGCCUCUGCUUUAGUUUGGACAGUUAAUCUAGUACACAAUUCUAUAAUCAGCUUGUUGAACUAUGUCCAACAGAGGGUGCUAUACAGAUCAUCUCUCCCUUUUUUGAGAUAGAAAAGACUAAGGAAAAUUAAACAAUUGUACAUGUACAUGUGUUAAAAUACUUAAAAGGUAAUAUAAUUCUGAGCCAGUACUGUAAAGUAGUUGCCAAAACAUUAGCAUUAGAAUAAGGAAUUAAAAUAUAGUAAGGUAGAUGAACAGUUCAUUUUGGUUUUGGUUAUCAAAAGUUCGGAGUUCUGUCCUUUUUAGUUUGAAGCUUAGAAAAAGUCUCUUUAACUAGUUGGGGCACAUUUUACGCAUUUGGGCCUAUUUGGUUUUUAUGUUGGAAACUGCCUCUUUUGUGAAGGACAAUACCCACAUGAUCAAGAAUGCCCGGCAAAGGGGAAGGAAUGUACUUCUUAUGGUAUAAGCUAAACCAUUUUUCCUUGGUUUGCCACUCAAACAG
Molecule: long non-coding RNA, 12153 nt
Filed under: Anneissia japonica
Lineage: Eukaryota; Metazoa; Echinodermata; Crinoidea; Comatulida; Comatulidae
Description: uncharacterized LOC117102936, transcript variant X2
Source: RNAcentral